RNAcentral lists this ribosomal RNA (497 nucleotides) under uncultured bacterium. Its description in RNAcentral is "partial 16S ribosomal RNA". It matches the Rfam family "Bacterial small subunit ribosomal RNA", at positions 28 to 507 of the family's 1533-position model. The record is from RNAcentral.
GAUGAACGCUGGCGGCGUGCCUAAUACAUGCAAGUCGAGCGAACAGACGAGGAGCUUGCUCCUCUGACGUUAGCGGCGGACGGGUGAGUAACACGUGGAUAACCUACCUAUAAGACUGGGAUAACUUCGGGAAACCGGAGCUAAUACCGGAUAAUAUAUUGAACCGCAUGGUUCAAUAGUGAAAGACGGUUUUGCUGUCACUUAUAGAUGGAUCCGCGCCGCAUUAGCUAGUUGGUAAGGUAACGGCUUACCAAGGCAACGAUGCGUAGCCGACCUGAGAGGGUGAUCGGCCACACUGGAACUGGGACACGGUCCAGACUCCUACGGGAGGAAGCAGUAGGGAAUCUUCCGCAAUGGGCGAAAGCUUGACGGAGCAACGCCGCGUGAGUGAUGAAGGUCUUCGGAUCGUAAAACUCUGUUAUUAGGGAAGAACAAAUGUGUAAGUAACUAUGCACGUCUUGACGGUACCUAAUCAGAAAGCCACGGCUAACUACGUG